This 460-nucleotide ribosomal RNA is filed under the name uncultured bacterium. Its description in RNAcentral is "partial 16S ribosomal RNA". It matches the Rfam family "Bacterial small subunit ribosomal RNA", at positions 338 to 795 of the family's 1533-position model. The record is from RNAcentral.
CCUACGGGAGGCAGCAGUGAGGAAUAUUGGUCAAUGGACGAGAGUCUGAACCAGCCAAGUAGCGUGAAGGAUGACUGCCCUAUGGGUUGUAAACUUCUUUUAUAUGGGAAUAAAACGUUCCACGUGUGGGAUUUUGUAUGUACCAUAUGAAUAAGGAUCGGCUAACUCCGUGCCAGCAGCCGCGGUAAUACGGAGGAUCCGAGCGUUAUCCGGAUUUAUUGGGUUUAAAGGGAGCGUAGGUGGAUUGUUAAGUCAGUUGUGAAAGUUUGCGGCUCAACCGUAAAAUUGCAAUUGAAACUGGCAGUCUUGAGUACAGUAGAGGUGGGCGGAAUUCGUGGUGUAGCGGUGAAAUGCUUAGAUAUCACGAAGAACUCCGAUUGCGAAGGCAGUUCACUGGACUGCAACUGACACUGAGGCUCGAAAGUGUGGGUAUCAAACAGGAUUAGAUACCCCAGUAGUC